RNAcentral lists this ribosomal RNA (253 nucleotides) under uncultured bacterium. RNAcentral describes it as "partial 16S ribosomal RNA". It matches the Rfam family "Bacterial small subunit ribosomal RNA", at positions 524 to 776 of the family's 1533-position model. The record is from RNAcentral.
UACGUAGGGGGCAAGCGUUGUCCGGAAUCAUUGGGCGUAAAGCGCGUGUAGGCGGCUUGGUAAGUCUGCUCUGAAAGCCCGGGGCUCAACCCCGGAGGUGCAUCCGAAACUCUGGGGCUGGAGGUCGGAAGAGGAGGGUGGAAUACCCAGUGUAGAGGUGAAAUUCGUAGAUAUUGGGUGGAACACCGGUGGCGAAAGCGGCUCUCUGGUCCGGACCUGACGCUGAGGCGCGAAAGCGUGGGGAGCAAACAGG